AACUAACGCUGGCGGCGUGCCUAACACAUGCAAGUCGUACGAGAAAGCCGGCUUCGGCUGGUGAGUAAAGUGGCGCACGGGUGAGUAACGCGUGGAUAAUCUGCCCUUAAGUGUGGAAUAACGUACCGAAAGGUGCGCUAAUACCGCAUAAUGCCUGGCAACACAAGUUGUCCGGCCAAAGAAGGCCUCUGUUUACAAGCUUUCGCUUCAGGAUGAGUCCGCGUACCAUUAGCUUGUUGUGGGGUAAUGGCCUACCAAGGCUGCGAUGGUUAGCUGGUCUGAGAGGAUGAUCAGCCACACUGGAACUGAGACACGGUCCAGACUCCUACGGGAGGCAGCAGUGAGGAAUAUUGCGCAAUGGGGGCAACCCUGAACCAGCCAUCCCGCGUGCAGGAAGAACGGCCCUAUCGGGUUGUAAACUGCUUUUCCAGGGUAGAGAAACUUACGCACGUGUUGCGUGACUGACGGUACCCCGGGAAUAACGCAUCGGCUAACUCCGUGCC
This 503-nucleotide ribosomal RNA is filed under the name uncultured bacterium. RNAcentral's name for it is "bacterial SSU rRNA". It matches the Rfam family "Bacterial small subunit ribosomal RNA", at positions 29 to 509 of the family's 1533-position model. The record is from RNAcentral.